ACUUCAUAGGAAUGACACCCUCUUUUCUAGUCUUCCUAAGGUACUUUUCUUUAGCUCGUGGACUUUCGCUUGCAAGAAAAUAGAGUACGAGUGAAGCAGCUAUCAAACGUAAUGGAGGAAGGAAGAAACCAACCCCAAUCUAAUAAGGAGUCAUAGCUCGUUGCUCAUGUUCCGUAGGUACCAAAGCAAGGGAUCAGUAGUCCAGUGGUGUGGUAUUGAAUCUCUAUCUCAGUCCUGUCUAUUAGUAGUUAAGAGUCAAACCUGAUUGCGAUUGGUGCUGUAGGCAAGGAAGGUUACUAGGACAAUAGGGAUAAGAAUCGAAGCAAGGAAUCGACGCAAGGGAAAGAAGUCGUUAGGACUCAUCGCCACUAUUCAUGUUAUUCUUCCGUAGCUACCCUUCAAGACUCAACUAAUAUACUCACUCCCACGCAUGCCGCUCAGCUGGACCAAAGAGAGAAGUGAGGGGGGAGUGUCCUAACGGACCCGUGGGGGGUGGGCAGGAGAAUUGUUUCAUAAAUCCUGACACUCCAGCUAAAGCACGACCAAUGGCUUGAAUGUAUGGGGUCAGCCUCCCGGAGUCAGAAAAGAUUUGCUACUAUUCCUACACCAAGCAAGGGAUCAGUCACGUCCUUUGUAAGACCAGACAAGCGUUAGGAUUAAAGCAAGUCCCUAGUUUCAGUCUUCAUUGUAAGGUAUUCACCCAACUCCCUCCUAUCGAGCUGCCUUGACCAAUAGCAGGGUUCUCUGCCUUUAUGUUGUGGAAGCGAGGGAUCAGUUCCCAAGGGAAGGGAAUCCACUCCUCAUCCUCUUAUCUUUCAUUUCCUCCUUCCUCACCGGCAUCUGCUCUCACCAAGACCAGCACUGACUUUGGGGAUUGAUGCUGAUCUCAGUCUCUUUCCCAAGGAGGGGCCUUAGAUGGAUGAUCAAUUUCCUUUUUGAAGAGUGCAACUGAACUUGACUCUGCCUGGGACUAGACUUUCUCCAGAAGUCUUGGAGGACUGAGCUUUAGAUUGAACAAGAUGCUCUUGUUCCUCCAAAGCCAACUGAGCAGCAGCAGAAUGAGUAGAAAGGUCAUAAUGUACAAGGGGAAAUGGAACAGAAGGAGAGACAGACUCUGUGACAGAAGUAGUACGCUCUGACACAAAGAAAACAGGGGCAGAUUGUUCUUCCGUACUUUUUGAGGGAGAAAGGACUCAACUAUGGAUACACUUGGGAUUCGAAAACACAAGGUCAUAAUGUACAAGGAGAACAUAAAGUCUUACAUCCGGCUCAGGAGGAGUCGGGGAUGGAAGGCUAGAUUAUAAAGUGGCAGUCUCAAUUGGAGAAAACGAUGAGGAGAUGGGAACAGAAGUAGAUUUUCAGUGACCUGUAUCACUUUGCAUAGUCAAUAGCAAAAAAGAAGAAUUGAACGAAUACGCAAGGCCUCACAUCUACAGCAACAGCAAGACCCCACCAAAAGCAUAACUUCCUUUGGUUGUGAGGAAGAGGUAAUUAUGACCUGCAUAACUUUCACUAGAUUUUAGCAACAGAUCGUAAGAUAGAAGGAUAAGGUCACACUUGAGGGAGAAAGAACCUCCAUGGGUCUUGAGAAAGAACCUCCAUGGGUCUAGAGGAAGAAGCACCCUGCAGCACAAGACGCAUCAGCUAAGGCCAUUUCUCGAAGAGACGAGCAAGAAACGAGAGCAUAAAAGUUUUUCCGCCCUCUUUCAAUGAUGAAGGGGCCU
Molecule: long non-coding RNA, 1724 nt
Filed under: Amborella trichopoda
Lineage: Eukaryota; Viridiplantae; Streptophyta; Magnoliopsida; Amborellales; Amborellaceae
Description: long non-coding RNA (ATRI_LNC000672)
Source: RNAcentral